GGAGCUUGCUUCUCCGGAUGAGUUGCGAACGGGUGAGUAACGCGUAGGUAACCUGCCUGGUAGCGGGGGAUAACUAUUGGAAACGAUAGCUAAUACCGCAUAAGAGUAGAUGUUGCAUGACAUUUGCUUAAAAGGUGCAAUUGCAUCACUACCAGAUGGACCUGCGUUGUAUUAGCUAGUUGGUGGGGUAACGGCUCACCAAGGCGACGAUACAUAGCCGACCUGAGAGGGUGAUCGGCCACACUGGGACUGAGACACGGCCCAGACUCCUACGGGAGGCAGCAGUAGGGAAUCUUCGGCAAUGGACGGAAGUCUGACCGAGCAACGCCGCGUGAGUGAAGAAGGUUUUCGGAUCGUAAAGCUCUGUUGUAAGAGAAGAACGAGUGUGAGAGUGGAAAGUUCACACUGUGACGGUAUCUUACCAGAAAGGGACGGCUAACUACGUGCCAGCAGCCGCGGUAAUACGUAGGUCCCGAGCGUUGUCCGGAUUUAUUGGGCGUAAAGCGAGCGCAGGCGGUUAGAUAAGUCUGAAGUUAAAGGCUGUGGCUUAACCAUAGUACGCUUUGGAAACUGUUUAACUUGAGUGCAAGAGGGGAGAGUGGAAUUCCAUGUGUAGCGGUGAAAUGCGUAGAUAUAUGGAGGAACACCGGUGGCGAAAGCGGCUCUCUGGCUUGUAACUGACGCUGAGGCUCGAAAGCGUGGGGAGCAAA
This 710-nucleotide ribosomal RNA is filed under the name uncultured Streptococcaceae bacterium. RNAcentral describes it as "SSU rRNA". It matches the Rfam family "Bacterial small subunit ribosomal RNA", at positions 75 to 772 of the family's 1533-position model. The record is from RNAcentral. Lineage: Bacteria; Bacillati; Bacillota; Bacilli; Lactobacillales; Streptococcaceae.